This 454-nucleotide ribosomal RNA is filed under the name uncultured bacterium. RNAcentral's name for it is "partial 16S ribosomal RNA". It matches the Rfam family "Bacterial small subunit ribosomal RNA", at positions 28 to 507 of the family's 1533-position model. The record is from RNAcentral.
GAUGAACGCUGACAGAAUGCUUAACACAUGCAAGUCCACUUGAACUUCGGUUUGGGUGGCGGACGGGUGAGUAACGCGUAAAGAACUUGCCUCACAGCUAGGGACACCAUUUUGAAACGAAUGCUAGUACCUGAUAUUAUUAUUUUAGGGCAUCCUAGAAUUAUGAAAGCUAUAUGCGCUGUGAGAGAGCUUUGCGUCCCAUUAGCUAGUUGGAGAGGUAACGGCUCACAAAGGCGAUGAUGGGUAGCCGGCCUGAGAGGGUGAACGGCCACAAGGGGACUGAGACACGGCCCUUACUCCUACGGGAGGCAGCAGUGGGGAAUAUUGGACAAUGGACCAAGAGUCUGAUCCAGCAAUUCUGUGUGCACGAUGAAGUUUUUCGGAAUGUAAAGUGCUUUCAGUUGGGAAGAAAAAAAUGACGGUACCAACAGAAGAAGUGACGGCUAAAUACGUG